Molecule: ribosomal RNA, 253 nt
Filed under: uncultured bacterium
Lineage: Bacteria
Description: partial 16S ribosomal RNA
Rfam family: Bacterial small subunit ribosomal RNA
Source: RNAcentral
GACGAACCGUGCGAACGUUAUUCGGAAUCACUGGGCUUAAAGGGCGCGUAGGCGGUUCGUCAAGUCCUGUGUGAAAUCCCCCGGCUCAACUGGGGAACUGCACAGGAAACUAGCGGGCUUGAGUUCGGGAGAGGGAAGCGGAAUUCCGGGUGUAGCGGUGAAAUGCGUAGAUAUCCGGAGGAACACCGGUGGCGAAGGCGGCUUCCUGGACCGACACUGACGCUGAGGCGCGAAAGCUAGGGGAGCAAACGGG